RNAcentral lists this ribosomal RNA (469 nucleotides) under uncultured bacterium. RNAcentral's name for it is "partial 16S ribosomal RNA". It matches the Rfam family "Bacterial small subunit ribosomal RNA", at positions 28 to 507 of the family's 1533-position model. The record is from RNAcentral.
GACGAACGCUGGCGGCGUGCUUAACACAUGCAAGUCGAACGAUGAAGCCUUAGCUUGCUUUGGUGGAUUAGUGGCGAACGGGUGAGUAACACGUGAGCAACGUGCCCAGGACUCUGGAAUAACCGCGGGAAACCGUGGCUAAUACCGGAUAGGUGCCGAGGCCGCAUGGUCUUCGGUUGGAAAGUUUUUGCGGUUCUGGAUCGGCUCACGGCCUAUCAGCUUGUUGGUGGGGUAAUGGCCUACCAAGGCGACGACGGGUAGCCGGCCUGAGAGGGUGACCGACCACACUGGGACUGAGACACGGCCCAGACUCCUACGGGAGGCAGCAGUGGGGAAUAUUGCACAAUGGGCGCAAGCCUGAUGCAGCAACGCCGCGUGGGGGAUGACGGCCUUCGGGUUGUAAACCUCUUUUAGUAGGGAAGAAGCGCAAGUGACGGUACCUGCAGAAAAAGCACCGGCUAACUACGUG